AUGUCAGACUUCUUGGCAUGGAGCUUGACAAAGACAGGGGGUUUCUCGGUAAGAUCUGCAUAUCAUGUUGUUUGGGAGGCCCAGUUUGGUCACCAUCUGCAGGCUGGCUGUAGCUCAUCAGCGCCUAAACCCACUUGGAAAUCUCUUUGGGGGCUGAAUUGUCCUGCAAAAAUUAAAAAUUUUGUUUGGAGAGUGAUCCACAGCGCUAUUCCAUGCCGGGCGUUAUUGGCGGAUAGACAUAUCAAGAUAAAAGCCUAUUGUCCUUCUUGCAACCUAGGCCCUGAGACCAUUCGACACUUGUUGUUUGAGUGCCCAGUCGCCACCGAGGUUUGGAAGCUGCUUGGAUUGCAUGAGGUAACCACUAAAGCCCUGGUUUUGGACAGAUCUGGGGAAGUAACUUUAGAAUUCCUUCUCAAUCUUUCGGAUAAUCAUAUCCAUGUGUUGGGACUCCCCAAAUUCAGAGAAACAAUUGCCACUUGCUGCUGGUUUUUGUGGUGGGAAAGA
RNAcentral lists this ribosomal RNA (504 nucleotides) under Triticum aestivum (bread wheat). Its description in RNAcentral is "partial small subunit ribosomal RNA". The record is from RNAcentral. Lineage: Eukaryota; Viridiplantae; Streptophyta; Magnoliopsida; Poales; Poaceae.